This 684-nucleotide ribosomal RNA is filed under the name Olsenella sp. G43. RNAcentral describes it as "bacterial SSU rRNA". It matches the Rfam family "Bacterial small subunit ribosomal RNA", at positions 24 to 719 of the family's 1533-position model. The record is from RNAcentral. Lineage: Bacteria; Bacillati; Actinomycetota; Coriobacteriia; Coriobacteriales; Atopobiaceae.
UCAGGAUGAACGCUGGCGGCGCGCUUAACACAUGCAAGUCGAACGGUUAAUGCACCCCUCGGGGUGCGCAUAAAGUGGCGAACGGCUGAGUAACACGUGGGCAACCUGCCCCCCGCACCGGGAUAGCCUCGGGAAACCGAGGGUAAUACCGGAUACUCCGCCCCCCUCGCAUGGGAGGGGCGGGAAAGCACAUACGGCGGGGGAUGGGCCCGCGGCCUGUUAGCUCGUUGGCGGGGUAACGGCCCACCAAGGCGAUUAUGGGUAGCCGGGUUGAGAGACCGACCGGCCAGAUUGGGACUGAGACACGGCCCAGACUCCUACGGGAGGCAGCAGUGGGGAAUCUUGCACAAUGGGCGAAAGCCUGAUGCAGCGACGCCGCGUGCGGGAAGAAGGCCCUCGGGUUGUAAACCGCUUUCAGCAGGGACGAGGCGCAAGUGACGGUACCUGCAGAAGAAGCCCCGGCUAACUACGUGCCAGCAGCCGCGGUAAUACGUAGGGGGCGAGCGUUAUCCGGAUUCAUUGGGCGUAAAGCGCGCGUAGGCGGCCCGUUAGGUCGGGAGUCAAAUCCGGGGGCUCAACCCCCGUCCGCUCCCGAUACCGGCGGGCUUGAGUCUGGUAGGGGAAGGUGGAACUCCAAGUGUAGCGGUGGAAUGCGCAGAUAUUUGGAAGAACACCGGUGGCGAA